Small nucleolar RNA from Cavia porcellus (domestic guinea pig), 137 nucleotides. NCBI's taxonomy places the organism in Eukaryota, Metazoa, Chordata, Mammalia, Rodentia, Caviidae. The record is from Ensembl.
AUGGCCCUGACUGAAGACCAGCAGUUAUAUAAUAGCUGUUGGUUUCAAGCAGAGGCCUAUAUGAAUGACUUCCUGUGGUUUGUUGGCAUCUCUGGAACCUCAGUAGAGAAUGACUAUUUCAUUUGGAAGAAACAACU